CAUUUACCAGGGGUCCGCCCGGUGUCCUUUGUCUAAAUUGGUGCGUAAUCUUCAACUGGAGGCAUUUUCCCAUGAGAUUCAGAAGAGAACGCACACUUCCACGAACAAUAUAUCAUCGAAGAGAUAUGUGAAAAACACCUUGAGGAUUGGUUCUAAACAACGUUUACCAUGUUUCAGUCGAUAUUAUGGAGUUAAUUUGGAAAAAAGUUCGGCGUUUUGAUGACUGAAUUUUCGUAUUUUUUUUGGUAGCCAAACGUGACGCACCAAACGGAGCGAUUUCUCCUAAACAAAUAAUCUUUCAGGAAAAACUGAACAUUUGCUAUCUAACUGAGAGUCUCCUCAUUGAAAACAUCAGAAGUUCUUCAAAGGUUGUCUCUAAUGCCUUGAGGUGGAACUGCUCCUGAUGGCUAAGGACAUAAGCACACUGGGAAUCCUGAAGCCUGUAGCCAUCUAAUGGAAGUAUUGGUGGAGAAGGAGCAUCGGCAAUCUUCACAAUUUCACGGGUCUUUGGCAGUGGAAGCUGAUAGGACAGAACACUUCCGCAUUGCACUGGCCCAAAGGCGGACUCAACCAGGUGCACGUCAGCUGACAUUUGUUGUCACAAGAGGUGCAGACCUGAGCCCUAGGAUCCAUGCCUCAGGACUACCUGACAUCAUGACUCUCUGCUGUCCCCAGUCCACCUGGCCGUGCUGCUGCUCCAGUUGCAACUGUUCUGCCUGUGAUUAUUAUUAUUUGACCACGCUGGUCAUUUAUGAACAUUUGAACAUCUUGGCCAUGUUCUGUUACAAUCUCCACCCGGCACAGCCAGAAGAGGACUGGCCACCCCACAUAGCCUGGUUCCUCUCUAGGUUUCUUCCUAGGUUUUGGCCUUUCUAGGGAGUUUUACCUAGCCACCGUGCUUCUACACCUGCAUUGCUUGCUGUUUGGGGUUUUAGGCUGGGUUUCUGUACAGCACUUUGAGACAUCAGCUGAUGUACGAAGGGCUAUAUAAAUAUAUUUGAUUUGAUUUGAUUUAACAUCUGGAUACAAUCACAAGAAAAUGUUUUCUAAAAUGUUUCCAUUCUAGGAACCUCCAACUUACCUUAUUCCAUCAGCACACGAGUUAGUAGGUUUACAGAACUCUAUCCCAUCAACCGGACCUGGCUUCACACUCUAAUUAACAAGGAUUUACCGUUACAUAGGCUGAAUACUUUUCAGGUGCAUUUUUUUAUGGAUAUUGAUAGACUCCCAAGUGUUCUUGGCUUGUGCCAACGCUGUUCUGUGUCUGUGCAGCUGUGAACUGGUGGUGCAGCAGGAAUGUUUAGUUGAGAGUAGUGCACUGUCUGGUAAAGAAGGGCCACCUGAUGAUUGCACAGAGCACUUCCUGCAACACAGGAACAGUGGCUUUGGACCCUUAUCACUGGUACGGAGUGCUUUUAACACUAUCUGUGAAGAUAAGUGAAGUGACUGAAGUGAGAAACAAGAAUGAUGUGGCCCAUAAAUAACAAUAAACAUAGUUGUAUCUAGUCUUCUUAACUUGGGGCUCAU
Oncorhynchus tshawytscha (Chinook salmon) is the source of this 1527-nucleotide long non-coding RNA. The record is from Ensembl. NCBI's taxonomy places the organism in Eukaryota, Metazoa, Chordata, Actinopteri, Salmoniformes, Salmonidae.